Molecule: non-coding RNA, 917 nt
Filed under: Cornufer guppyi (Shortland Island webbed frog)
Lineage: Eukaryota; Metazoa; Chordata; Amphibia; Anura; Ceratobatrachidae
Source: RNAcentral
UCUGGUCCCCACCUUAUAUAAUUUACCUCAACUUACACAUUGCAAGUCUCAGCAUACCCGUGAGUACGCCCUUCUACCUAACCCAGAAGAAGGAGCAGGCAUCAGGCACAGCAUCUAGCCUAAAACACCUAGUAUUACCACAUCCCCAAGGAUACACAGCAGUGAUUAACAUUAUUAAUAAGUGUCAACUUGAAAUAGUUAGAGGAACUAAGAGCUGGCCAACCUGGUGCCAGCCGCCGCGGCUACACCAAGAACUCAAAUUGAUAACUUCCGGCGUCAAGUGUGAUAUUGAGUAAUCACCUAAUUAGGGUUAAAUAAAAAUAUAAAUGUCUCAAACACAUUUCUAAGAAAAUCAAAAAUAAAAAUUACCCUAACCACUACUCGAAUGCACGACAGUUAAGACACAAACUGGGAUUAGACACCCCACUAUGCUCAACCAUAAACAAAAUACAUUAUAAACGCCAGGGAACUACGAGCCACGCUUGAAACCCAAAGGACUUGACGGUGCCCUAUCCAACUAGAGGAGCCUGUUCUAUAAUUGAUAAUCCCCACUAUACCUCACCCCUACUAGCCUUACAGCCUGUAUACCUCCGUCGCAAGCUUACUGUGUGAACAUCUAAUAGUAAGCUUAAUUAAUAACCCUAAAUACGUCAGGUCAAGGUGCAGCCAAUGUAUAGGAAAGCAAUGGGCUACAAUUUCUAAUUUAGAAUAAACGAAAACUCACAUGAAACUGUGAUUUAAAGGCGGAUUUAGCAGUAAGAAAAGAAUAAAGUGCUUCUCUUAAACAGGACCUAGGUCGCGUACAAACCGCCCGUCACCCUCUUCAAUAAUUAAUCACUAUUUUCCUAAUACCACUUAAAUCCAAGAAGAGGUAAGUCGUAACAUGGUAAGUGUACUGGAAAGUGCACUUGGAUCAA